AUUUCUGUUACAGAUAAACGUGGACCAGCUAGUUCAGAGAAGGUUAGGGAAUAUUUCCUCAGCAAGACGGAAUCGGAGACAGCGCGACUUUGGAUAAAUUCCAUUUUCUUUUGGAAACCAAUGAAAAACUCAUAUGCAGAACCUAUUGACCAACCUGGACUAUCAGCAUCUAAGGAAACAGCUCAAUGAAGACAUGAAUAGUGACAAAAAUAUCCCACUCUCAAUCCAUAUUGAAGAAUAGAUCAACUUUGUGCAACAUAUACAGAUAGAAUUGCCCAGUCAUUGUCCAUCAUAUGUGCUAAGGAAUGUUCAAGUGAAGAAUGAAAAAGUGAAGAUAAUGAACUGUAUAAAGAAUACAAAAUUAAAAGUUUAAGAA
Molecule: long non-coding RNA, 376 nt
Organism: Ostrea edulis (European flat oyster)
Lineage: Eukaryota; Metazoa; Mollusca; Bivalvia; Ostreida; Ostreidae
Exons: 3
Source: RefSeq, a predicted model, not a curated record